RNAcentral lists this ribosomal RNA (478 nucleotides) under uncultured bacterium. RNAcentral describes it as "partial 16S ribosomal RNA". It matches the Rfam family "Bacterial small subunit ribosomal RNA", at positions 28 to 507 of the family's 1533-position model. The record is from RNAcentral.
GAUGAACGCUGGCGGCGUGCUUAACACAUGCAAGUCGAACGAGAAAUGGAGACGGAAACCUUCGGGCGGAAGGCUUCAUUUCGAGUGGCGGACGGGUGAGUAACGCGUGGGUAACCUGCCUCAUACAGGGGGAUAACAGUUGGAAACGACUGUUAAUACCGCAUAAGACCACAGCACCGCAUGGUGCGGGGGUAAAAACUCCGGUGGUAUGAGAUGGACCCGCGUUCGAUUAGCCAGUUGGCGGGGUAACGGCCCACCAAAGCGACGAUCGAUAGCCGAUCUGAGAGGAUGACCGGCCACAUUGGGACUGAGACACGGCCCAACCUCCUACGGGAGGCAGCAGUGGGGAAUAUUGCACAAUGGGGGAAACCCUGAUGCAGCGACGCCGCGUGAGUGAAGAAGUACUUCGGUAUGUAAAGCUCUAUCAGCAGGGAAGAAAAUGACGGUACCUGAGUAAGAAGCCCCGGCUAACUACGUG